Long non-coding RNA from Sebastes umbrosus (honeycomb rockfish), 190 nucleotides. RefSeq lists it as uncharacterized. Lineage: Eukaryota; Metazoa; Chordata; Actinopteri; Perciformes; Sebastidae. The record is from RefSeq and is a predicted model, not a curated record. The transcript has 3 exons.
GAAGUGCAGCCAGAGAGGACCCGCAACCAAUCAGUAAACAGAUCCUGUAACCCUUGUGACAUGCUGACCUGUGUUACAAAGAAUUUAUUCCCGCCUGUAACACAUGAACACGCCUCCCGGCUGCAGAAAAAUUUGAUUAUUGCGGCGAGCCACAUUUCACCGCUGCCUGGUGUGAUUUAGGUGUAAAUGU